GCCGGUGGCCAUAGUGGAGAGGUAAUACCCGUUCCCAUUCCGAACACGGAAGUCAAGCUCUCUAACGUCGAUGAUACUGCUCACAAGCGGGAAAGUAGAAAGCUGCCGGCU
This 111-nucleotide ribosomal RNA is filed under the name Treponema sp. Lineage: Bacteria; Pseudomonadati; Spirochaetota; Spirochaetia; Treponematales; Treponemataceae. The record is from RNAcentral.